CGUAGGGCGCAAGCGUUAUCCGGAUUAUUGGGCGUAAGAGCUCGUAGGCGGUUUGUUCGCGUCUGCUGUGAAAGACCGGGGCUCAACUCCGGUUCUGCAGUGGGUACGGGCAGACUAGAGUGCAGUAGGGGAGACUGGAAUUCCUGGUGUAGCGGUGAAAUGCGCAGAUAUCAGGAGGAACACCGAUGGCGAAGGCAGGUCUCUGGGCUGUAACUGACGCUGAGGAGCGAAAGCAUGGGGAGCGAACAGGAUUAGAUACCCUGGUAGUCCAUGCCGUAAACGUUGGGCACUAGGUGUGGGGGACAUUCCACGUUUUCCGCGCCGUAGCUAACGCAUUAAGUGCCCCGCCUGGGGAGUACGGCCGCAAGGCUAA
This 373-nucleotide ribosomal RNA is filed under the name uncultured organism. Its description in RNAcentral is "bacterial SSU rRNA". It matches the Rfam family "Bacterial small subunit ribosomal RNA", at positions 526 to 897 of the family's 1533-position model. The record is from RNAcentral.